Molecule: ribosomal RNA, 212 nt
Filed under: Glomus sp. Dc2
Lineage: Eukaryota; Fungi; Glomeromycota; Glomeromycetes; Glomerales; Glomeraceae
Description: partial large subunit ribosomal RNA
Rfam family: Eukaryotic large subunit ribosomal RNA
Source: RNAcentral
GGCGAGGGACCGAUAGCGAACAAGUACCGUGAGGGAAAGAUGAAAAGAACUUUGAAAAGAGAGUUAAACAGUACGUGAAAUUGUCGAAAGGGAGACGAUUGAAGUCAGUCAUACCCACGGGGAAUCNACCCUUNGGGUGUGUUNUUCCGGGUUUCGNNGGGUUUAAAAGCCUUCNGAUUUGGNAGGAUUGGGUCUUUUGGUGUACUUUAUCG